AUAUCUUUCUUGGCCUUUUGUCUAAGAUAUAUGUUCUUAUCAGUUUAAUAUCUGAUAUGUGGAUCAUAGAUUCACACGAUAUUACACUAAUAUUUUUUUGGUGAGAUCCCGUUACAGUAGUUUCCUUGAGUGUCUUCUUUGUAGUUUCCUUGAGUGUCUUCUUUGUCUUGCAUUAUUGCAUGGGUUUGGCGCAACCCAC
This 199-nucleotide small nuclear RNA is filed under the name Cephalotus follicularis. RNAcentral describes it as "U2 spliceosomal RNA". It matches the Rfam family "U2 spliceosomal RNA". From Rfam's summary of the family: U2 is a small nuclear RNA (snRNA) component of the spliceosome (involved in pre-mRNA splicing). Lineage: Eukaryota; Viridiplantae; Streptophyta; Magnoliopsida; Oxalidales; Cephalotaceae. The record is from Rfam by way of RNAcentral.